UUUGCUGUCAGCGAGGCUCAGUUCCAAAUAUAGUUCGUCAAGGGAAAGAACGAGAGAAGUAGAAUAGAAAAAUAUUUAUUUAUAAAUUCUAAAUUACAAGUGAUGAUUCGCAUUUCCAACUGCUUGCCCAUCAUAUUGAAAAUGAUGUACAAUACGAAACUGCGCGAGAAGCGUUCAAAAUUUCAUCAGCCAAACUCAGUUGCAUUUUUCCGCGAGUUUUUUAAAUUUAUCAAGAAUAAUGAGAAAAGCUAUAGAUGUCCGAGAGCGUUGUAAAUUUCAAGUCCACUUGCAAAAUUGAAGCUGAAACCCGUUUUGCAAGAGGCUUAAAUUUUUAAUUGCUUUCGACGCUCAUCGACUUCUAGCGGUUUAUUUUUGGAUUUUUGAUUACUUUUACAUAUAUAUCUAGUAUUUGCUUAGGUUGUGAGUGUAGGAAUGGAAAAAGGUUAAAUAUAGUGAAAAGAUCCUGUUAAUGUAAAAACGAAGUUUCAUUCAUAAUUUACCGAGCAACUAC
Long non-coding RNA from Drosophila hydei, 511 nucleotides. RefSeq lists it as uncharacterized. NCBI's taxonomy places the organism in Eukaryota, Metazoa, Arthropoda, Insecta, Diptera, Drosophilidae. The transcript has 3 exons. The record is from RefSeq and is a predicted model, not a curated record.